RNAcentral lists this ribosomal RNA (425 nucleotides) under uncultured bacterium. RNAcentral's name for it is "partial 16S ribosomal RNA". It matches the Rfam family "Bacterial small subunit ribosomal RNA", at positions 354 to 796 of the family's 1533-position model. The record is from RNAcentral.
GUGGGGAAUCUUAGACAAUGGGCGCAAGCCUGAUCUAGCCAUGCCGCGUGAGCGAUGAAGGCCUUAGGGUUGUAAAGCUCUUUCGUGGGGGAAGAUAAUGACUGUACCCCAAGAAGAAGCCCCGGCUAACUCCGUGCCAGCAGCCGCGGUAAUACGGAGGGGGCUAGCGUUGUUCGGAAUUACUGGGCGUAAAGCGCACGUAGGCGGACUGGAAAGUCAGGGGUGAAAUCCCGGGGCUCAACCCCGGAACUGCCUUUGAAACUCCCAGUCUUGAGUUCGAGAGAGGUGAGUGGAAUUCCGAGUGUAGAGGUGAAAUUCGUAGAUAUUCGGAGGAACACCAGUGGCGAAGGCGGCUCACUGGCUCGAUACUGACGUUGAGGUGCGAAAGCGUGGGGAGCAAACAGGAUUAGAAACCCCAGUAGUCC